CAGGCCCUCACGCGGCGAUGGCAGCUGAGGCGACGGGAGAUGAAACUCAUGGGGAGCAGCCAGUCUCAGUGCCACUCUGAGACUGUAGCAGGAACCUUAGAGCAAUGGGCUGGAACAGCAGAGACAAACAGAUCCAAGGCCAGCAAAUCAAAGUGUAGCAAUAACCCUGCACAGCAACAGGAACAGCAGCCGGGUAGACCCGGGGUUGUGGGUGUGGAACUAAAGUGUAGCGGAAACCUCGGUGCAGCAGCAGGAAAAUGUGGGGGCUAGACACGGAGAGAAGUCAAGCUAAGUGUACCAAACAACCCCAGACCAGUGGCAGGAAACAGCAGGGGCAGGGAGGUCCAGUUGGACAGCAAUGGACCUUGGUGUCAGCCACUGGCAACUGGCAGCAAUGGUGAAGGCGGGCAGGUCCAAUUGAGCAGCAGCUGAUGUCAGCAGCCGGCAAACAGAAAAAAUAAAUAGACAGAACCCAGGAUCACAUCACAGCUCAGCCCCAUCAAGACAAGGACAAGCACCUGAUCCCCACACCACAUGUGGCUGCUCUCCUCUCCCCUCUGACUGUGGAGAGGAGAAAGCCCAGCCCCUGACCCCAGCCAAGUCUUGGUUAGACCCCUACAUCUCAUGAUAUUGCUGCACUUCCCAAGAGAAAUCCCCCAGCCAGAAAGUUCACUCCCUAGCUAAGAGACUGCUGCAACCAUACCCCUUCCUCCCCUCCUCCGCCAGCACCAUCUCAGUGGAAUUUGAAAAUGCCCAGCCAUGCUUUUGUCUCUUAAUACUGUCCGUUCAUCAUCUCCAGAACAACAAAUAGGAAGAAAAAUUGCCUGAGAGAAAGUAAAAAAAGAAAAAGCCUAACACCCAACACAAAGAUGAUUACUUUUCCUUUCUGUAGGACAGUUUGGAAUUUCUACUUCUUGUUUCAGAAAGCGAGAAUUUUGACUUUUGGACCAGCUUUACCAUCUUAUGUCUGAAGCAGACAAAUCAUUAUCAUAAGAAUAUGAACACCACAGAAGAGCAUUUUAUGUGCACUUCACCUUCCUGUAGUCUCCUGUGGGUCCAUGUGGUGUCCUCAACAUUAGAAUUUUAACAUAGUGGUCAGACCACACCCUUGCCAUAUUCUGCCUUCUAAAGGCUGCCUGAAUGGUGAAGCCAGCUAAAAUGUGAGUAGGCACUUGAUGGAAGGGGGAACUGGGACCUGUUGACCUGUCACCCCGAGUGCAAAUGCAGUGGCAGGUUUUGCCCAGGCAAGUUGGCUCAAGCAAAGCCAGCAGCAGCUCAGGCAGCCAGCAAUGAGUCUGCCAGCAGCACCAUAGUGACCAGGGGGGACCUGCAGAAGAUUUGCACAGCUCAGCUCUUGGAAGGAAGAAGAAGAAAAUAUCAAGCUCAUCUGGCUACUGAUUUCCCCUUGACAAAAAGAAAGCACCCUUCCUCAAGGCUUUCCACAGAUAUGCAAGACCUAACUUGAAGACUUCCGCUGUUAUACCAAAUCAAAGGAAAAAAACUUCCUCCUGUUCAUUGACAAUUAGAAACUGUGUGAAAUGAGAAGAAGCUACACACGAGCUACACAAUUUCAAAGUGUAAGGUAAGAAAAAGAGUUUCAAUGCUCUUUUCCUGCCUUAUACUGCAUACAGAUUUUUUAAGUCCAAAUAAUUUUCCUUUAUUUUUAAGGGGCUAAACUUCUGCUUUGUUUCAAUGUACCAAGUACUUUGGAAUAUUAUUAAAAGUUUGCACCAUUUUUAAUUGUUGCAUAGCUAUAUGACAGAAAAAUAAUCUUUGACCAUUUAUAAAUUCUUCCUGACCCUGUACUCUACUCUGGUGAGAUCCCACCUGAAGUGCUGCAUCCAGCUCUGAGAUCCCCAGCAAAGGAAUGACAUGUAUCUGUAAUGAGUCCAGAGUAGGCCACCAUGAUGAUUAGAGGGAUGGAGCAUCUCUCCUAUGAGAAAAGGCUGAGAUAUUUGAGAUUGUUCAGCCUGGAGAAAAGAAGACUUUAGUGUGACUUAAUUGUGGCCUUGCAGUGCCAAGGAAGCUGGACAGGGGCUUUUUGCAAGAGGACAGGAUAAGGAGGAAUGGCUCCACACUGAAAGUGAGUAGAUUUGAAUCGGAUAUUAGGAAAAAAUUCUUUACUGUGGGUGGUGAGGCAUUGGAACAUGUUGUCCAAGAAGCUGGAUGCCCAAAGAACUGGAUGUCCGAUCUAGUGGAUGUCUCAUCCUGGAAAUAUUUGAAGCCAGGCUUGAUACAGCUUUGAACAACCUUGUCCGGUGGAAGGUGUCUGUACCCAUGACAGUGGUGUUGGAACUAGAUGACCUUUAAGGUCUCUUCCAAAUGAAGAUUUUCUGUGAUAAAAAUAAGUAAAUUAUUCUGAUAGAUCUCUCAUUUCUACAUACUUACUAUUGUGCUUGGUUUGUAUAAUAAGGAGAUAUUUCAUUUAAACUUUGGGUUACAGUGAAUAGUGUUGGGUGAACUUAAAUGCAGAGAGUUUAGCCUGGAUGAUCUCUAGUGAUUCAUGAAGAUAAGCUCAUUAUAACUUCAAUAAAGAAACCAUAUCUCACACAAAGGAACAAAAAUCAAAGCAAGAUGUAGCUGGAGUGUCAGGGAAAAUUGCUGUAAGUAUGCAGCAUAACUGCAUCACAUGCUUCAGAGGAAAAAACAGCAAAGAAAAAAUACUUUUUUCUAUUAAAAAACCCCACUAUUUUUAGGAUAUUUUCAGGGGUUAAGAAUUGAAAAAAAAAAGAAAAAAAAAGAGAAAAAGAUAGAUAGAAAGAAAAGAGAUAGAGAUAAGUAAUCUAUUUCAAGCCUAAGUGAAAAUUUGGUAAAUAGGAUAAAGAUUAAUUAUCUCUCUCCCUUUCUCUCUAGCUAUUCUUUAUGCAGACAAUUUUUAACUGUUGGUGAUCUGGAACCCAGAAACCUUUUUCUGUGUCUAAAUAUCUACAGAGAACAGCAGUUUCUGGAAAAAUACUUCACAAUAGAAUAACCUGGAAAGAACAGCAGAAAAUAUACCAUAAUCACUGUCCUUUUAGUGGAGCUUCUUAUAUUGUUCUUGCUGGGAGAUGAAAAAUAUCAGUGUAUGAGAUUUAUUACGGGAAAGGAAUCCCUCUUUCUGCGCUUCUCCACUGUUCCAAAUGAGCCCCACGUGGUGUAACAUACACAUCACCAUUAUAAGCUUCGUUCUUUUGCUGUAUGAAAGAGCUUUCUCUGUACUCUUUUCCAGCAGUUAUGCACAAACCAUGUUUUAACCUCCAAACCCAGCACAGUAUAGCUGAGACCUUGCCUUGUGGUUUGCAGACUGCUCACACACCUCUUGUCUCUUUUUUCCCACCAUCCUGUCCUUGUUCUGCAGCUGCACGAUAUUACCACCACAUCAAGCACCUUUUACUGUCUGACAUGCAUGGGCCUUUCACCUUCUUGGAGUCACUAAUUCUAGCAAGGUACUUGUUUGUUCAGUGAUUCCUCAGGACGUGGCUGACAUCUUGCACUUUCUUCUAAUUUGACAUCAGGCUUUUCAUUAUUGUAAUACCUUCCACAUGGAAAUCCCAUUGAUAAAAGUCAUUUGAAGACAAUGCAGUUUUGCUUUUUCUGUCUCUCUCAUUUUUAAAUGAAGAUUUCCAAAUCCCUGCAAUUGUCAUUUCUUUCACUGGAUACUGAUGGGGCCACCUUUCAGCACUAUUGUGUACAGAACUUCCCACUCAAACCAAAAAAGGACAUAAUUCUAAUAACAUGUCAUCUGAAGAACAGUUAUCUCUUCCUCCCUCAGACUGGCUUCCUCUUCAUAUUAGGAUCUUUUGUGUCCAUGACACAGACUUGUCAGUAAAAUCUCAUUAAGAGGGAUGCUCACAAAUGAAGUUGUGCUAAUACAUAGGUCUUGGUCCUUGGGUAUUUAGCUUAUUUCUUUUCUCAUGGGGCAAUCCACCUAUUCUUACCCUACAGUUUCCUUCUCUUUUUCUGGAGAAUAAGAAAUUUUUGCUGAUUUCAAACAUAUGCAUAGCAUUUCUGCCCUAACCUCUUUUAAAACAAGCAUUCAUCAUUUAAUCUUGAAUCAUUAAUGCAACAUUUUAAUUUUUCAGGUAAAAGCAGCCUGACAUGCUCAGGUAAAAGUAGCAGACUGAGAUGUUGUAACCAUAGACCUCAGAUGCCCCUAGGAAAUUCAACGUGCUUUAGCUAAGCUGUUCUCAAUUUCAGGGUUGUGGGUGUUUGGAAUUAGCACUUGUCACAUUUAUCUUAUGUUAGAGUUGUUACAAAUGCAUCACCAUGACAUUUUAACAAGCUGCCACUAUAGAUUAGCGCUACCUAGCUUUUACAUGGCAUUUUAGAUGUGAAUCUCAAGCACAAUACAGAAGAUGGUAAGCAAUGUUUCUGUCAUUAAGCAGACAAAUAAGAGUGAGAGACAGUGUGUUUAAGAAGCCUGCAAGAGGCUGCUCAGGAAAGCCAUUCCUGACAACUUACAUGGGGUCAGUAACAUCCUGAGCCAGUAUGAUCUCUCCCUGCCUGCCAGCAAAACUUCAGAAACAACUUGGAGAUAUGGGUCCAAAGAGUAGGGUUUUCCAUACCAUGCUAUGGAUCUUGAACCCUUGAUACUGCAAAAGAGUAAGGGCAAGACACAAGGCACCUUGCAAGACUCCACUUCCAUGGGCUGGCCUUCUCCUAAAAUGUAUUCUCAGUUGCUUUUUCACCAGGUGUGCUUUUUCUGUUCUAGUAUGUUCCAGUGCCAUAUUUUCAGACUCUAUUCAGACCAGAUCCUACUGCUGAAACCACCAGCAAAAACCUUCCCAAUUUAUAUGUGAAAAGCAAAGAAAGACACUAAUCAAAACAUGCUUCCAUAUGAAAAUGUCAGUAACCAUCUAAAACUGCAAUGUAUUUCUUUAGCAGAUGAUUAAAAACAAGCUGGCUCUCAGCCAGCUACUCUACUCUGCUGUGCUGUACCGUACCGUAUCUUCCUUCACUAAAGAACACUGAAGCUUUUUUUACUAAUCUCUAACAUUGAUAAAAAGCAAGUUAAGCAGCAGACAGAGAAAAGAAAAAAAAAACAUGUUCAAGCACCCUUUUGAUAGAAUAAAACAAAG
Molecule: long non-coding RNA, 5057 nt
Organism: Passer domesticus (house sparrow)
Lineage: Eukaryota; Metazoa; Chordata; Aves; Passeriformes; Passeridae
Exons: 2
Source: RefSeq, a predicted model, not a curated record